GACAGAGGUUGCAAACGUUGUUCGGAAUUACUGGGCAUAAAGAGCACGUAGGUGGUCCACUAAGUCAGGUGUGAAAUCCCCCGGCUCAACCGGGGAAUAGCGCCUGAUACUGGUGGGCUUGAGGUCGGUAGGGGUGAGCGGAACUCCAGGUGGAGCGGUGAAAUGCGUAGAUAUCUGGAGGAACACCGGUGGCGAAGGCGGCUCACUGGACCGAAUCUGACACUGAGGUGCGAAAGCUAGGGUAGCAAACGGG
Molecule: ribosomal RNA, 253 nt
Filed under: uncultured bacterium
Lineage: Bacteria
Description: partial 16S ribosomal RNA
Rfam family: Bacterial small subunit ribosomal RNA
Source: RNAcentral